GUCCCCGUAGCUCAGCGGAUUAGAGCGUAUGGUUGCGGUCCAUAAGGCCGCAGGUUCGAGUCCUGCCGGGGACGCCA
RNAcentral lists this transfer RNA (77 nucleotides) under Candidatus Berkelbacteria bacterium. RNAcentral describes it as "tRNA-Arg". It matches the Rfam family "tRNA". Rfam says of the family: Transfer RNA (tRNA) molecules are approximately 80 nucleotides in length. Their secondary structure includes four short double-helical elements and three loops (D, anti-codon, and T loops). Lineage: Bacteria; Candidatus Berkelbacteria. The record is from RNAcentral.